This is a non-coding RNA of Pelobates cultripes (western spadefoot toad), 227 nucleotides long. Lineage: Eukaryota; Metazoa; Chordata; Amphibia; Anura; Pelobatidae. The record is from the annotation of a GenBank genome assembly.
UUUUACUUUUACGUGAAAAAUCUUUUACUCAUCUACAAAAGUGAAUGAAAAAAAAAUGCUAAAUAGAUUCAAAAUUUUGUCCUGAGUUUAAAAAUACCCAGUGUUUACAUGCUUUUUUGCGUGUUAUAGGGCUAUAAGUACAAGUAGGCUAUUGCAGUUUCAAAACAUACAUUUUUAAAAUGUAUCAAUAGUGAUAUUGUAACACUAUUAUCUGUCAUAAAUCUCUG